CCAAAGGCUCUUUUCAGAGCCACCCACAACCGCACUUGGAAGAGG
Non-coding RNA from Sus scrofa (pig), 45 nucleotides. NCBI's taxonomy places the organism in Eukaryota, Metazoa, Chordata, Mammalia, Artiodactyla, Suidae. The record is from Rfam.